UUUUGUGGGGUGCUCGAGUGGCGAACGGGUGAGUAACACGUGAGUAACCUGCCCUUGACUUUGGGGUAACUUCAGGAAACUGGGGCUAAUACCGGAUAGGGGCUCCUGCUGCAUGGUGGGGGUUGGAAAGUUUCGGCGGUUGGGGAUGGACUCGCGGCUUAUCAGCUUGUUGGUGGGGUAGUGGCUUACCAAGGCUUUGACGGGUAGCCGGCCUGAGAGGGUGACCGGCCACAUUGGGACUGAGAUACGGCCCAG
Molecule: ribosomal RNA, 255 nt
Filed under: uncultured bacterium
Lineage: Bacteria
Description: partial 16S ribosomal RNA
Rfam family: Bacterial small subunit ribosomal RNA
Source: RNAcentral